GCAGAGACGCUAUAACUGGAUACGCUUUCAGGUUGUGAACAGAUUCUCCCUUGGAUCCAGACCUUUGAUUAUGGCUCAGGACGAACGCUGGCGGCGUGCUUAACACAUGCAAGUCGAACGAUGAAGUUAUGACGGAGGCUUCGGCCGACAGAAUAAUGGAAUAGUGGCGGACGGGUGAGUAACGCGUGAGUAACCUGCCUUUCAGAGAGGAAUAACAUUUGGAAACGAAUGGUAAUACCACAUAACAUUACGUUCUCGCAUGGGGAUGUAAUCAAAGAUUUUAUCGCUGAGAGAUGGACUCGCGUCCGAUUAGCUGGAUGGUGAGGUAACGGCCCACCAUGGCGACGACCGGUAGCCGGACUGAGAGGUUGAACGGCCACAUUGGGACUGAGACACGGCCCAGACUCCUACGGGAGGCAGCAGUGGGGAAUAUUGCACAAUGGGGGAAACCCUGAUGCAGCAACGCCGCGUGAAGGAAGACGGUCUUCGGAUUGUAAACUUUUGUUCUUGGUGAAGAAAAAUGACGGUAGCCAAGGAGGAAGCCACGGCUAACUACGUGCCAGCAGCCGCGGUAAUACGUAGGUGGCAAGCGUUGUCCGGAAUUACUGGGUGUAAAGGGAGCGCAGGCGGGAAAUCAAGUUGGAUGUGAAAUGUCGGGGCUUAACCCCGGAACUGCAUCCAAAACUGAUAUUCUUGAGUGAAGUAGAGGUAGGCGGAAUUCCGAGUGUAGCGGUGAAAUGCGUAGAUAUUCGGAGGAACACCAGUGGCGAAAGGCGGCCUACUGGGCUUUAAACUGACGCUGAGGCUCGAAAGUGUGGGGAGCAAACAGGAUUAGAUACCCUGGGUAGUCCACACUGUAAACGAUGAUUGGCUAGGUGGUGGGGGGGUCUUGGCCCCCU
This 899-nucleotide ribosomal RNA is filed under the name uncultured bacterium. RNAcentral's name for it is "bacterial SSU rRNA". It matches the Rfam family "Bacterial small subunit ribosomal RNA", at positions 1 to 841 of the family's 1533-position model. The record is from RNAcentral.